GAAACAACAAACAAAUAGCAAUAGGAUUGAAUUACUUCCCCAAAAAACAAUCUUUUGAGCCAAGAUGGGAAGGAAGAGAAAAGCUCAACCAGGACAUUUAUAACAUAUGUAGAUUUAAGCAAAGUAAUGGAAAGUACUUAAAACAAGCAUUUGGGCUUUUAGGCUUGUAGCUGGCUGUGCCCUGUGAAUGAGACAAUGAGAAGAGUAAAAACCAGUGAAAGCAACUGCAUACACUUUUUGAUGGCGCUGCCAGGGGACCUGGGUACACAAACUCCCUCCUCCAUGGAUUGGUCAUAACAAAUUAGCCUCACUUGUUUUAUUUGGAA
RNAcentral lists this unclassified non-coding RNA (326 nucleotides) under Hevea brasiliensis (rubber tree). The record is from RNAcentral. Lineage: Eukaryota; Viridiplantae; Streptophyta; Magnoliopsida; Malpighiales; Euphorbiaceae.